UACGAAGGGGGCUAGCGUUGCUCGGAAUUACUGGGCGUAAAGGGCGCGUAGGCGGAUAGUUUAGUCAGAGGUAAAAGCCCAGGGCUCAACCUUGGAACUGCCUUUGAUACUGGCUAUCUUGAGUUCGGGAGAGGUGAGUGGAAUGCCGAGUGUAGAGGUGAAAUUCGUAGAUAUUCGCAAGAACACCAGUGGCGAAGGCGGCUCACUGGCCCGGUACUGACGCUGAGGUGC
This 231-nucleotide ribosomal RNA is filed under the name uncultured bacterium. RNAcentral describes it as "partial 16S ribosomal RNA". It matches the Rfam family "Bacterial small subunit ribosomal RNA", at positions 524 to 754 of the family's 1533-position model. The record is from RNAcentral.